UUAUUGGAGAGUUUGAUCCUGGCUCAGGACGAACGCUGGCGGCGUGCCUAAUACAUGCAAGUCGAGCGGACCAAUGAAGAGCUUGCUCUUCGGCGGUUAGCGGCGGACGGGUGAGUAACACGUAGGCAACCUGCCUGUACGACUGGGAUAACUCCGGGAAACCGGAGCUAAUACCGGAUACUUCUUUCAGACCGCAUGGUCUGAAAGGGAAAGACCUUUGGUCACGUACAGAUGGGCCUGCGGCGCAUUAGCUAGUUGGUGGGGUAACGGCCUACCAAGGCGACGAUGCGUAGCCGACCUGAGAGGGUGAUCGGCCACACUGGGACUGAGACACGGCCCAGACUCCUACGGGAGNAAAGCCCCGGCUAACUACGUGCCAGCAGCCGCGGUAAUACGUAGGGGGCAAGCGUUGUCCGGAAUUAUUGGGCGUAAAGCGCGCGCAGGCGGCUUCUUAAGUCAGGUGUGAAAGCCCACGGCUCAACCGUGGAGGGCCACUUGAAACUGGGAAGCUUGAGUGCAGGAGAGGAGAGCGGAAUUCCACGUGUAGCGGUGAAAUGCGUAGAGAUGUGGAGGAACACCCGUGGCGAAGGCGGCUCUCUGGCCUGUAACUGACGCUGAGGCGCGAAAGCGUGGGGAGCGAACAGGAUUAGAUACCCUGGUAGUCCACGCCGUAAACGUUGAGUGCUAGGUGUUGGGGGUGACCAAUCCUCAGUGCCGCAGCUAACGCAAUAAGCACUCCGCCUGGGGAGUACGGCCGCAAGGCUGAAACUCAAAGGAANNNNNNNNNNNNNNNNNNNNNNNNNNNNNNNNNNNNNN
Molecule: ribosomal RNA, 816 nt
Filed under: Aneurinibacillus migulanus
Lineage: Bacteria; Bacillati; Bacillota; Bacilli; Caryophanales; Paenibacillaceae
Description: Bacterial small subunit ribosomal RNA
Rfam family: Bacterial small subunit ribosomal RNA
Source: Rfam by way of RNAcentral